GUACCGCAUGCCACCACCGCGGCUAAAAACGAAGCGGAUGUCGCGUCGCAUAGUGUCAAGUGCCGCGGUUACAUCGUAAAAAUUGUAAUUUUGUUUGCACAUGGUCCCGUUUGGCAGACAUACGUCCAUUUGAUCCUCUCGGAUGGGCUAAGCCUCAGACUUCGUGCCUUGAUUUUUUCAUAAGUGUCAUUUCUCGAAGAUAUCUUUACCUCUGGAUCAUGGUGACUUAAGAUCGGUUUCAAUCGAGUGUUCACAUGCUCUCCUUAUGCUCAGAACCCUUCAGCCGAGUUGAAUUAUUUAUCUCGUGGGGAAACCAACGGAGUUACGCUGCUCAAGUGCAGAUAAUAUGUGAAAAUAAAAUACAGAUAACCUGGAAGUCGAGUGCGACGAUGACGGUCAGUGACAAUCUCGUUUCGUUGCGGGCUGGAUAUUCGUGAAAGCGGGUGCUCGACACUCAUUUUCGUGCGAAGGAUUUCGGUGGCCAGUUUCGAAAAUGGACGGGAACGAUGGACUCAACGCUAGGAUCGUAUUGGACAGCCUGGAUGAGCUGAACUUGCACAAGACCUGCGGCGCGGAAGAGGACUGUCUGCUCUGCGCUGGAAAAGCUCCGAAAUCUCCGGCCACGAUCGUCGGAGGGAUGAAUCGGCAGCCGAAAGCGGGGGCGCAGAUGAAGAAGGUGGCGCCGCCGCAGGUGCCCGAGACGGCGUUCAGGCAUUCCGGAAGCAGCUUCGGCUCGGCCGGUUACGGUAGCGCCGGCGAGGAACCCGUCUUCCACGACGCACCAGUCCAGGUAAGCCCAUCCCUCGAAUAAUUUAACUUCAUAUGAUAAAAUAAUGGAAAAGUAGUAAGUAGUCCCAAAAACAGUAGAAAGCAAAUACAGAACUGAAACUUGAGUUUCAAAAUGAGGAUCCAUCGCCUUCUCCUUCAAGUUGAAACGUAUGCAACACGGACUCCCAGGAGUCGAACUAGUGGUAUCCAAGGGUUAAUUGCCUCAUUCAGCCUUUUG
RNAcentral lists this long non-coding RNA (1006 nucleotides) under Bemisia tabaci. RNAcentral describes it as "lncRNA ENSSSA3NGG000099". The record is from RNAcentral. Lineage: Eukaryota; Metazoa; Arthropoda; Insecta; Hemiptera; Aleyrodidae.